This 395-nucleotide long non-coding RNA is filed under the name Helianthus annuus (common sunflower). Its description in RNAcentral is "hypothetical non coding rna". Lineage: Eukaryota; Viridiplantae; Streptophyta; Magnoliopsida; Asterales; Asteraceae. The record is from RNAcentral.
UUAUUAUUAUUAUUAUUGUUUCCUUCACAUUAGGUGGGCGAGCCUAAAGUGAUAUACGUCACUCAUUGGGACAGCCAAUGGUGAUAUGACCACAGUCACAGAGCUGGUCUGUGACAAAUACCUAUUCUUGAAAGUUGGUUGAUAAUAAACAUAUGUAAAAACUCUUGAUACUGUAAAUUAUAACAAAUGUGUCGUUUUCAGUAAAUAGAAUGAUUCACUCAGUAUUUCCCCGCUGACAAAACCUUUUUCAAACAUGUUUCAGGUGAUCUACUGUAAAUCAGGAAAAGUGCUGAGGAGCAUUUCAAGCUUAAAAUAGUGGCUCAGUAUAAAAUAAAGAAAUAUGUUUUGAAAUAAGGAUUUAUCACUAAAACUUAUGUAUUGUAAAUUAUCGGGGU